UAGGGUCUCCGUCUGGCAAUUCCCCCCAGAUGCCUGAAGGUGUGUGUGGUGGAAGAGGAUAGAAACCAGACUCCAACAGUCAGGUAAAGAAGACCAAUUCCUCCCACCUACUCCUCCUAUUGCUACUGUCCGGCAAGUGUGUCUGAGUGGGCACGUGUGCAUUUACUCGCACGCAUACACACGCACACACGCAGAAAUGGCACAUGAAAGCGGGUGAUCUACGAUGCCAGGAAUCCUGGGUGAUGCCAGGAAUCGUAGGGUGAUCUACGAUGCCAGGAAUCCUCCUUACACCGGGUGUUCAAAGAGCAGGAGCAAGAACCUGAGGAACCGAUCGUUCAUGCAAAACCGCCACCGCCCCCCUUCCCAGCGUCCACAUGGUUUCCCAGCCUCGGAAGCGCGCUGGUAGGGCGGGACCCCGUCCCUCACUUUGCUCUCCUUUCCCGAGCA
Long non-coding RNA from Nomascus leucogenys (northern white-cheeked gibbon), 447 nucleotides. RefSeq lists it as uncharacterized. Lineage: Eukaryota; Metazoa; Chordata; Mammalia; Primates; Hylobatidae. The record is from RefSeq and is a predicted model, not a curated record. The transcript is spliced from 3 exons.